Molecule: ribosomal RNA, 460 nt
Filed under: uncultured bacterium
Lineage: Bacteria
Description: partial 16S ribosomal RNA
Rfam family: Bacterial small subunit ribosomal RNA
Source: RNAcentral
CCUACGGGUGGCAGCAGUGAGGAAUAUUGGUCAAUGGACGGAAGUCUGAACCAGCCAUGCCGCGUGCGGGAAGAAGGCUCUAUGAGUUGUAAACUGCUUUUGUACAGGGGUAAAACUGAAUACGUGUGUUCAGCUGAAAGUACUGUACGAAUAAGGAUCGGCUAACUCCGUGCCAGCAGCAGCGGUAAUACGGAGGGUCCAAGCGUUAUCCGGAUUUAUUGGGUUUAAUGGGUGCGUAGGCGGAUUGAUAAGUUAGAGGUGAAAUGUCCGAGGUUAACUCGGGAACGGAGUGUAAUACGGUGGAUCUAGAGAGUAGAUGAGGGAGGCGGAAUGUAUGGUGUAGCGGUGAAAGGCUUAGAGAUCAUACAGAACACCGAUGGCGAAGGCAGCUUACCAAUCUAUAUCUGACGUUGAGGCACGAAAGCGUGGGGAGCAAACAGGAUUAGAUACCCCAGUAGUC